Molecule: long non-coding RNA, 612 nt
Organism: Pistacia vera
Lineage: Eukaryota; Viridiplantae; Streptophyta; Magnoliopsida; Sapindales; Anacardiaceae
Exons: 3
Source: RefSeq, a predicted model, not a curated record
UUGAAGUAGUUUCGAGGAAUAUUUCAAGGGUGCCUUUUGACAAGUGCUUUGUUCUGGACAAGUACUUUCUGGAUAGAAAAGGCGCUUCAAGUAGUUUUUGGACUACUUCCUUGGUGCUUUUUGAGGAAGUUCUGUUGAAGAAAUGCAAUUGUAGUAAUUCUGUAAUGUUUGGCUGAAAUGCAGUAUUAUUUCAUUUUAGUGUGUGUUUUUUCUUGACUAAUAGCCUUACUAUCAGUGGGUAAUCCUGAAAUAUUUCCACCUCAAAAGGAACACGGCUCCAAAUCAAUGCGUGACGUGUUACUCCCUUUCGAAUGUCGACAGGCUAAAAUAUCAUAUACCGGCAAGUUAAUGGUGAUGUUGAAUUUCAAUAUGAUGACUCUGCAGUUAUAAGAGAGAAAUUCAAUUUUGGGCAAUUUCCUAUAAUGUUAAAGUCUAAACGUUGUCAUCUACGAGAUGCUGAUCCCCAAAAAUUAAAAUCUUUCAAGGAGGAGGCAUCAGAAGUUGAUGGGUAAGUGAUUCAAUGUCUUCCAUAGUAAUCACAUAUAUGGUAUCCUUGUUUUACUGGUUUUUGUAUUUGGAUUUGAUUAUAUUGAACCUUUUCAUGACAUGGUG